Molecule: ribosomal RNA, 592 nt
Filed under: Staphylococcus aureus
Lineage: Bacteria; Bacillati; Bacillota; Bacilli; Caryophanales; Staphylococcaceae
Description: bacterial SSU rRNA
Rfam family: Bacterial small subunit ribosomal RNA
Source: RNAcentral
GCAUUAGCUAGUUGGUAAGGUAACGGCUUACCAAGGCAACGAUGCAUAGCCGACCUGAGAGGGUGAUCGGCCACACUGGAACUGAGACACGGUCCAGACUCCUACGGGAGGCAGCAGUAGGGAAUCUUCCGCAAUGGGCGAAAGCCUGACGGAGCAACGCCGCGUGAGUGAUGAAGGUCUUCGGAUCGUAAAACUCUGUUAUUAGGGAAGAACAUAUGUGUAAGUAACUGUGCACAUCUUGACGGUACCUAAUCAGAAAGCCACGGCUAACUACGUGCCAGCAGCCGCGGUAAUACGUAGGUGGCAAGCGUUAUCCGGAAUUAUUGGGCGUAAAGCGCGCGUAGGCGGUUUUUUAAGUCUGAUGUGAAAGCCCACGGCUCAACCGUGGAGGGUCAUUGGAAACUGGAAAACUUGAGUGCAGAAGAGGAAAGUGGAAUUCCAUGUGUAGCGGUGAAAUGCGCAGAGAUAUGGAGGAACACCAGUGGCGAAGGCGACUUUCUGGUCUGUAACUGACGCUGAUGUGCGAAAGCGUGGGGAUCAAACAGGAUUAGAUACCCUGGUAGUCCACGCCGUAAACGAUGAGUGCUAAGUG